AGAGUUUGAUCCUGGCUCAGAACGAACGCUGGCGGCGUGCUUAACACAUGCAAGUCGAACGGGAUUGGGGGGCUUGCUCCUCAAUCUAGUGGCGCACGGGUGAGUAACGCGUGGAUAAUCUGCCCGAUGAUCUGGGAUAACAUCUCGAAAGGGGUGCUAAUACCGGAUAAGCCCACGGGAACUUCGGUUCUUGCGGGAAAAGAGGGGGACCUUCGGGCCUCUUGUCAUCGGAUGAGUCCGCGUACCAUUAGCUAGUUGGUAGGGUAAAAGCCUACCAAGGCGACGAUGGUUAGCUGGUCUGAGAGGAUGAUCAGCCACACUGGAACUGAGACACGGUCCAGACUCCUACGGGAGGCAGCAGUGGGGAAUUUUGCGCAAUGGGGGAAACCCUGACGCAGCAACGCCGCGUGAGUGAUGAAGGCCUUCGGGUCGUAAAGCUCUGUCUAGAGGAAAGAAAUGUAUGGUGGCUAACACCCGUUGUACUUGACGGUACCUCUGAAGGAAGCACCGGCUAACUCCGUGCCAGCAGCCGCGGUAAUACGGAGGGUGCGAGCGUUGUUCGGAUUUAUUGGGCGUAAAGCGCGUGUAGGCGGUUUCAUAAGUCUGAUGUGAAAGCCCCGGGUUUAACCUGGGAAGUGCAUUGGAUACUGUGAGACUUGAGUACGGGAGAGGGUAGUGGAAUUCCUAGUGUAGGAGUGAAAUCCGUAGAUAUUAGGAGGAACACCGGUGGCGAAGGCGGCUGCCUGGACCGAUACUGACGCUGAGACGCGAAAGCGUGGGGAGCAAACAGGAUUAGAUACCCUGGUAGUCCACGCCGUAAACGAUGAGAACUAGGUGUUGCGGGUAUUGACCCCUGCAGUGCCGCAGCUAACGCAUUAAGUUCUCCGCCUGGGAAGUACGGUCGCAAGACUAAAACUCAAAGGAAUUGAUGG
This 932-nucleotide ribosomal RNA is filed under the name uncultured bacterium. RNAcentral's name for it is "bacterial SSU rRNA". It matches the Rfam family "Bacterial small subunit ribosomal RNA", at positions 8 to 916 of the family's 1533-position model. The record is from RNAcentral.